Long non-coding RNA from Mobula hypostoma (lesser devil ray), 260 nucleotides. RefSeq lists it as uncharacterized. The transcript has 3 exons. The record is from RefSeq and is a predicted model, not a curated record. Lineage: Eukaryota; Metazoa; Chordata; Chondrichthyes; Myliobatiformes; Myliobatidae.
CAACAAAGGAAAUAUUUUCUCUGCACACGCCAUUUUAAGGAUUAGGGGACCAAAACUGCACACAAUACUCCAGGUGUGGUCUCACCAAGGCCUUGUACAACUGCAGUAGUACCUCCCUGCUCCUGUACUCGAAUCCGCUGGGCAGUUUUCACCACACGCUGGAGGGCUUUGCAGUCCGAUGUGGGACAAUUGCCAUACCACACUGAGAUGUAAUUGGAAGAAACAUCAGCAACAACCCCUCCAUAUUCACCAUGCCAAGC